Molecule: ribosomal RNA, 431 nt
Filed under: uncultured bacterium
Lineage: Bacteria
Description: partial 16S ribosomal RNA
Rfam family: Bacterial small subunit ribosomal RNA
Source: RNAcentral
AACGAACGCUGGCGGCAGGCCUAACACAUGCAAGUCGAGCGCCCUUUCGGGGGAGCGGCGGCCGGGUGAGUAACGCGUGGGAAUAUGCCCUUCUCUACGGAAUAGCCUCGGGAAACUGAGAGUAAUACCGUAUACGCCCUUUGGGGGAAAGAUUUAUCGGGGAAGGAUUAGACCGCGUUGGAUUAGGUAGUUGGUGGGGUAAUGGCCUACCAAGCCGACGAUCCAUAGCUGGUUUGAGAGGAUGAUCAGCCACACUGGGACUGAGACACGGCCCAGACUCCUACAUACAACCCCAAUAUACAAUCUUAUACCAUCUAGGCAACCCUGAUCGAUCCAUGCCGCGUGAGUGAUGAAGGCCUUAGGGUUCUAAAUCUCUUUCAUCUAAGACAAUAAUAACUCUCCCCUCACAACAAUCCCCGGCUAACUCCCUG